UUUAAAGUCUAAUCUGCCCAAUGAGGAUUUUAAUGGCCGCGGUAUAUUGACCGUGCAAAGGUAGCAUAAUAAUUUGUUUUUUAAUUGGAAGCUUGAAUGAAUGGUUGGACGAGAAAUUUACUGUCUCUGGUUAAUUUUAUUAGAAUUUUAUUUUUAAGUAAAAAAGCUUAAAUUUUUUUAAAAGACGAGAAGACCCUAUAGAGUUUUAUAUUUUAUUUUAUUAAUUUUUUUUGGUAUUAUUUAUUUUUUAUGAUUUUAUUUAUUUUGUUGGGGUGACGGGAAAAUUUAAUUAACUUUUUUUUUUGUUUUCAUUUGUUUAUGAUUUUUUGAUCCGUUAUUUGCGAUUAUAAGAUUAAAUUACCUUAGGGAUAACAGCGUAAUUUUUUUUUAGAGUUCUUAUUGAAAGGAAAGUUUGCGACCUCGAUGUUGGAUUAAAAUUAAUUUUAGGUGUAGAAGCUUAGAUAUUAGGUCUGUUCGACCUUUGAAAUUUUACA
This 494-nucleotide ribosomal RNA is filed under the name Idaecamenta sp. DA3751. Its description in RNAcentral is "partial 16S large subunit ribosomal RNA". The stretch from base 368 to 494 matches the Rfam family "Bacterial large subunit ribosomal RNA", at positions 2473 to 2600 of the family's 2925-position model. The record is from RNAcentral. Lineage: Eukaryota; Metazoa; Arthropoda; Insecta; Coleoptera; Scarabaeidae.